GACGAACGCUGGCGGCGUGCUUAACACAUGCAAGUCGAACGGAAAGGCCCUGCUUUUGUGGGGUGCUCGAGUGGCGAACGGGUGAGUAACACGUGAGUAACCUGCCCUUGACUUUGGGAUAACUUCAGGAAACUGGGGCUAAUACCGGAUAGGAGCUCCUGCUGCAUGGUGGGGGUUGGAAAGUUUCGGCGGUUGGGGAUGGACUCGCGGCUUAUCCGCUUGUUGGUGGGGUAGUGGCUUACCAAGGCUUUGACGGGUAGCCGGCCUGAGAGGGUGACCGGCGACAUUGGGCCUGAGAUACGGCCCAGACUCCUACGGGAGGCAGCAGUGGGGAGUAUUGCACAAUGGGCGGAAGCCUGAUGCAGCAACGCCGCGUGCGGGAUGACGGCCUUCGGGUUGUAAACCGCUUUCGCCUGUGACGAAGCGUGAGUGACGGUAAUGGGUAAAGAAGCACCGGCUAACUACGUG
RNAcentral lists this ribosomal RNA (468 nucleotides) under uncultured bacterium. Its description in RNAcentral is "partial 16S ribosomal RNA". It matches the Rfam family "Bacterial small subunit ribosomal RNA", at positions 28 to 507 of the family's 1533-position model. The record is from RNAcentral.